AGGGAAUCUUCCACAAUGGACGCAAGUCUGAUGGAGCAACGGCCGCGUGAGUGAAGAAGGUUUUCGGACCGUAAAGCUCUGUUGUUGGUGAAGAAGGAUAGAGGUAGUAACUGGCCUUUAUUUGACGGUAAUCAACCAGAAAGUCACGGCUAACUACGUGCCAGCAGCCGCGGUAAUACGUAGGUGGCAAGCGUUGUCCGGAUUUAUUGGGCGUAAAGCGAGCGCAGGCGGAAGAAUAAGUCUGAUGUGAAAGCCCUCGGCUUAACCGAGGAAUUGCAUCGGAAACUGUUUUUCCUUGAGUGCAGAAGAGGAGAGUAGAACUCCAUGUGUAGCGGUGGAAUGCGUAGAUAUAUGGAAGAAUACCAGUGGCGAAGGCGGCUCUCUGGUCUGCAACUGACGCUGAGGCUCGAAAGCAUGGGUAGCGAACAGGAUUAGAUACCCUUGGUAGUCCAUGCCGUAAACGAUGAGUGCUAAGUGUUGGGAGGCUUCCGCCUCUCAGUGCUGCAGCUAACGCAUUAAGCACUCCGCCUGGGGGAGUACGACCGCAAGGUUGAAAC
RNAcentral lists this ribosomal RNA (557 nucleotides) under uncultured bacterium. RNAcentral's name for it is "partial 16S ribosomal RNA". It matches the Rfam family "Bacterial small subunit ribosomal RNA", at positions 356 to 900 of the family's 1533-position model. The record is from RNAcentral.